Molecule: transfer RNA, 71 nt
Filed under: Bacteroidales bacterium
Lineage: Bacteria; Pseudomonadati; Bacteroidota; Bacteroidia; Bacteroidales
Also listed under: 1 other name
Description: tRNA-Cys
Rfam family: tRNA
About the family: Transfer RNA (tRNA) molecules are approximately 80 nucleotides in length. Their secondary structure includes four short double-helical elements and three loops (D, anti-codon, and T loops). Further hydrogen bonds mediate the characteristic L-shaped molecular structure. tRNAs have two regions of fundamental functional importance: the anti-codon, which is responsible for specific mRNA codon recognition, and the 3' end, to which the tRNAs corresponding amino acid is attached (by aminoacyl-tRNA synthetases). tRNAs cope with the degeneracy of the genetic code in two manners: having more than one tRNA (with a specific anti-codon) for a particular amino acid; and 'wobble' base-pairing, i.e. permitting non-standard base-pairing at the 3rd anti-codon position.
Source: RNAcentral
GGUACCUUGGCCGAGCGGCUAGGCACCGGUCUGCAAAACCGAUUACGGCGGUUCGAUUCCGCCAGGUACCU